Molecule: ribosomal RNA, 301 nt
Filed under: uncultured bacterium
Lineage: Bacteria
Description: partial 16S ribosomal RNA
Rfam family: Bacterial small subunit ribosomal RNA
Source: RNAcentral
CAGCCGCCGCGGGAAUACGUAGGGUGCGAGCGUUAAUCGGAAUUACUGGGCGUAAAGCGUGCGCAGGCGGUUCGUUAAGACAGAUGUGAAAUCCCCGGGCUUAACCUGGGAACUGCAUUUGUGACUGGCGAGCUAGAGUAUGGCAGAGGGGGGUAGAAUUCCACGUGUAGCAGUGAAAUGCGUAGAGAUGUGGAGGAAUACCGAUGGCGAAGGCAGCCCCCUGGGCCAAUACUGACGCUCUUGCACGAAAGCGUGGGGAGCAAACAGGAUUAGAUACCCCGGUAGUCCCUGUCUCUUAUAC